Molecule: ribosomal RNA, 465 nt
Filed under: uncultured Enterobacter sp.
Lineage: Bacteria; Pseudomonadati; Pseudomonadota; Gammaproteobacteria; Enterobacterales; Enterobacteriaceae
Description: bacterial SSU rRNA
Rfam family: Bacterial small subunit ribosomal RNA
Source: RNAcentral
CCUACGGGUGGCUGCAGUGGGGAAUAUUGCACAAUGGGCGCAAGCCUGAUGCAGCCAUGCCGCGUGUAUGAAGAAGGCCUUCGGGUUGUAAAGUACUUUCAGCGGGGAGGAAGGUGCUGAGGUUAAUAACCUCAGCAAUUGACGUUACCCGCAGAAGAAGCACCGGCUAACUCCGUGCCAGCAGCCGCGGUAAUACGGAGGGUGCAAGCGUUAAUCGGAAUUACUGGGCGUAAAGCGCACGCAGGCGGUCUGUCAAGUCGGAUGUGAAAUCCCCGGGCUCAACCUGGGAACUGCAUUCGAAACUGGCAGGCUGGAGUCUUGUAGAGGGGGGUAGAAUUCCAGGUGUAGCGGUGAAAUGCGUAGAGAUCUGGAGGAAUACCGGUGGCGAAGGCGGCCCCCUGGACAAAGACUGACGCUCAGGUGCGAAAGCGUGGGGAGCAAACAGGAUUAGAUACCCCAGUAGUC